UGGGGAAUAUUGGACAAUGGGCGCAAGCCUGAUCCAGCAAUGCCGCGUGUGUGAAGAAGGCCUUCGGGUUGUAAAGCACUUUUGUUAGGGAGGAAAGUCUGGUAGCUAAUAACUGCUAGAUCUGACGUUACCUAAAGAAUCAGCACCGGCUAACUCUGUGCCAGCAGCCGCGGUAAUACAGAGGGUGCAAGCGUUAAUCGGAAUUACUGGGCGUAAAGGGUCUGUAGGCGGAUUAUUAAGUCGGAUGUGAAAUCCCCGGGCUCAACCUGGGAACGGCAUUCGAUACUGGUAGUCUAGAGUGUGCAAGAGGAUGGGGGAAUUCCUGGUGUAGCAGUGAAAUGCGUAGAUAUCAGGAGGAACAUCAAUGGCGAAGGCACCUUUCUGGGGCAACACUGACGCUGAGAGACGAAAGCGUGGGGAGCAAACA
RNAcentral lists this ribosomal RNA (427 nucleotides) under uncultured prokaryote. RNAcentral's name for it is "bacterial SSU rRNA". It matches the Rfam family "Bacterial small subunit ribosomal RNA", at positions 355 to 774 of the family's 1533-position model. The record is from RNAcentral.